ACGACGCUCUGGAAAGGACGGGGAACCCCUGUCCACCGAAGGGGCAACCCGCCGCGGAGGGCGGGGAAUCUCUCAGGUUUCUAACAGAGACGGA
RNAcentral lists this non-coding RNA (94 nucleotides) under uncultured Eubacterium sp. Its description in RNAcentral is "Glycine riboswitch". The stretch from base 7 to 89 matches the Rfam family "Glycine riboswitch aptamer", at positions 9 to 86 of the family's 94-position model. Rfam says of the family: This family represents the bacterial glycine riboswitch. Glycine riboswitches usually consist of two metabolite-binding aptamers domains with similar structures in tandem. The record is from RNAcentral. Lineage: Bacteria; Bacillati; Bacillota; Clostridia; Eubacteriales; Eubacteriaceae.